Molecule: long non-coding RNA, 262 nt
Filed under: Pan troglodytes (chimpanzee)
Lineage: Eukaryota; Metazoa; Chordata; Mammalia; Primates; Hominidae
Description: long non-coding RNA NONPTRT000958
Source: RNAcentral
GACGACAGAGCCAGAUCCCGUCUCAAAGAAAAAAAAAAAAAAGAAAUACAUUCUCUGACCUCAGUGGUAUUAAAUUUGAAAUCACUAUAAAACAAGAUCUAUCAAAAGAUCAAUAUAGGCUGGGCGCCGUGGCUCAUGCAUGUAUCACUUGAGGUCAGGAGUUUGAGACCAGCCUGGCCAACAUGGCAAAGCCCUGUCUCUACUAAAAAUCCAAACAUUAGAUCGGUGUGAUGGUGCGUGCCUAUAGUUGCAGCCACUUGGG